This 242-nucleotide long non-coding RNA is filed under the name Mytilus galloprovincialis (Mediterranean mussel). Lineage: Eukaryota; Metazoa; Mollusca; Bivalvia; Mytilida; Mytilidae. The record is from RNAcentral.
GAAGUCGGUAACCUUUGUGACACAGAUUCUUAUAUUGGUUAACUAGUAUAUCUUUUUUGCACAAUGAAUUUACAAAACGUUGUACUGGCGUAUGCAUAACUACAGUAGGUGUCAAAGAUGAUCAUAAGUUAGUUAGAAAUGUUUGUUUUGUAUGCCAAAUUGAAAAAUAAUUCUGAAUGAGUCGUGUGUGUUAAAAACAUAUACAGUACUUCUUGUUAUGCACCAGAUGUGCAUUUCGACAA